Molecule: long non-coding RNA, 243 nt
Filed under: Carica papaya (papaya)
Lineage: Eukaryota; Viridiplantae; Streptophyta; Magnoliopsida; Brassicales; Caricaceae
Description: long non-coding RNA (CPAP_LNC011969)
Source: RNAcentral
AAAUGACAAAAGAAAUAAGGGAAAAAAAAAUUUCUACCAAAGUUCGAACUCUACCUCUACAUUAAAUAACUUGUUAGAAGUGAAUGUCAUAUAAGCUAUGAGUAACACAUAGAUUAUACAACAUAUGGAUAAUAAUUGCAUAGUUUAAUAAAUAUGAAAAUAAAAAGUUCUCUUUGGGACAAUGAUUAUGUCAUAAUCCUCUCAUUCCCUUAAAUUACAUAAGUGAUUAGGUCAAUUUGAUAU